GAUGAACGCUGGCGGCGUGCUUAACACAUGCAAGUCGAACGAUGAUCCGGUGCUUGCACCGGGGAUUAGUGGCGAACGGGUGAGUAACACGUGAGUAACCUGCCCUUAACUCUGGGAUAAGCCUGGGAAACUGGGUCUAAUACCGGAUAUGACUGAUCAUCGCAUGGUGGUUGGUGGAAAGCUUUUUUGUGGUUUUGGAUGGACUCGCGGCCUAUCAGCUUGUUGGUGAGGUAAUGGCUUACCAAGGCGACGACGGGUAGCCGGCCUGAGAGGGUGACCGGCCACACUGGGACUGAGACACGGCCCAGACUCCUAUGGGAGGCAGCAGUGGGGAAUAUUGCACAAUGGGCGCAAGCCUGAUGCAGCGACGCCGCGUGAGGGAUGACGGCCUUCGGGUUGUAAACCUCUUUCAGUAGGGAAGAAGCGAAAGUGACGGUACCUGCAGAAGAAGCGCCGGCUAACUACGUGCCAGCAGCCGCGGUAAUACGUAGGGCGCAAGCGUUAUCCGGAAUUAUUGGGCGUAAAGAGCUCGUAGGCGGUUUGUCGCGUCUGCC
RNAcentral lists this ribosomal RNA (554 nucleotides) under uncultured soil bacterium. Its description in RNAcentral is "bacterial SSU rRNA". It matches the Rfam family "Bacterial small subunit ribosomal RNA", at positions 28 to 593 of the family's 1533-position model. The record is from RNAcentral.